RNAcentral lists this ribosomal RNA (118 nucleotides) under Fasciola hepatica (liver fluke). The record is from RNAcentral. Lineage: Eukaryota; Metazoa; Platyhelminthes; Trematoda; Plagiorchiida; Fasciolidae.
GUGACCUUACCAUGCUGGAACUAUAGGUUCUCGUCCGAUCAUCGAAAUUAAGAAGUGUUGAGCCCGGAUAGCAAUUGUAUGGGCGAUUGGAUGGGAGUACCGGAUGUUUCGGAAGUUC